GCCCGGAGGACCCUCAGUAGUCUGGGGUGCAGACUUCAAACCCAUAGCUGUCUAGCAAUAGAGUGGUUCAAUUCCAUCAUUCGGGUG
Molecule: non-coding RNA, 87 nt
Organism: Pogoniulus pusillus (Red-fronted tinkerbird)
Lineage: Eukaryota; Metazoa; Chordata; Aves; Piciformes; Lybiidae
Source: the annotation of a RefSeq genome assembly